This 77-nucleotide transfer RNA is filed under the name Methanocorpusculum sp. MCE. RNAcentral's name for it is "tRNA-Arg". It matches the Rfam family "tRNA". Rfam says of the family: Transfer RNA (tRNA) molecules are approximately 80 nucleotides in length. Their secondary structure includes four short double-helical elements and three loops (D, anti-codon, and T loops). Lineage: Archaea; Methanobacteriati; Methanobacteriota; Methanomicrobia; Methanomicrobiales; Methanocorpusculaceae. The record is from RNAcentral.
UGGACAUGUAGCCAAGCCAGGAUAUGGCAUCAGCCUCCUAAGCUGAAGAUCUAGGGUUCGAAUCCCUACAUGCCCGU